GCAUAUCAAUAAGCGGAGGAAAAAGAAACUAACAAGGAUUCCCCUAGUAACUGCGAGUGAAGCGGGAAAAGCUCAAAUUUAAAAUCUGGUGGUCUUUGGCCAUCCGAGUUGUAAUCUAGAGAAGUGUUACCCGCGUCGGACCGUGUACAAGUCUCCUGGAAUGGAGCGUCAUAGAGGGUGAGAAUCCCGUCUUUGACACGGACUACCGAGGCUUUGUGGUGCGCUCUCAACGAGUCGAGUUGUUUGGGAAUGCAGCUCAAAAUGGGUGGUAAAUUCCAUCUAAAGCUAAAUAUUGGCGAGAGACCGAUAGCGAACAAGUACCGUGAGGGAAAGAUGAAAAGAACUUUGGAAAGAGAGUUAAACAGUACGUGAAAUUGCUGAAAGGGAAACGCUUGAAGUCAGUCGCGUUGGCCGGAAAUCAGCCUUGCUUUUGCUGGGUGUACUUUCUGGUUGACGGGCCAGCAUCAGUUUUGACCGGUGGAAAAAGUUCAAGGGAAUGUGGCAUCUUCGGAUGUGUUAUAGCCCUUGUUCGUAUACAUCGGUUGGGACUGAGGAACUCAGCACGCCGAAAGGCCGGGUCUUUGACCACGUUCGUGCUUAGGAUGCUGGCAUAAUGGCUUUAAUCGACCCGUCUUGAAACACGGACCAAGGAGUCUAACAUGCCUGCGAGUGUUUGGGUGGAAAACCCGGACGCGUAAUGAAAGUGAAAGUCGAGAUCCCUGUCAUGGGGAGCAUCGACGCCCGGACCAGAAGUUUUCUGACGGCCCUGCGGUAGAGCAUGUAUGUUGGGACCCGAAAGAUGGUGAACUAUGCCUGAAUAGGGUGAAGCCAGAGGAAAACUCUGGUGGAGGCUCGUAGCGAUUCUGACGUGCAAAUCGAUCGUCAAAUUUGGGGUAUAGGGGGCGAAAGACUAAUCGAACCAUCUAGUAGCUGGGUUCCUGCCGAAG
Molecule: ribosomal RNA, 947 nt
Filed under: Psathyrella sp. 'pseudobifrons'
Lineage: Eukaryota; Fungi; Basidiomycota; Agaricomycetes; Agaricales; Psathyrellaceae
Description: LSU rRNA
Rfam family: Eukaryotic large subunit ribosomal RNA
Source: RNAcentral